GACGAACGCUGGCGGCGUGCUUAACACAUGCAAGUCGAACGGUGAAGGGACCGGUUUUUGCUGGUUCUGGAUGAGUGGCGAACGGGUGAGUAACACGUGAGUAACCUGCCCCCUUCUUCUGGAUAACCGCAUGAAAGUGUGGCUAAUACGGGAUAUUCUGCGCCUGCUGCAUGGUGGGUGUGGGAAAGAUAUUGUUUCGGUGGGGGGUGGGCUCGCGGCCUAUCGGCUUGUUGGUGGGGUGAUGGCCUACCAAGGCGGUGACGGGUAGCCGGCCUGAGAGGGUGGACGGUCACACUGGGACUGAGACACGGCCCAGACUCCUACGGGAGGCAGCAGUGGGGAAUAUUGCACAAUGGGCGCAAGCCUGAUGCAGCGACGCCGCGUGAGGGAUGGAGGCCUUCGGGUUGUAAACCUCUUUCGCCAGUGAAGCAGGCCUGUCCCUUUUGUGGGUGGGUUGACGGUAGCUGGAUAAGAAGCGCCGGCUAACUACGUG
Molecule: ribosomal RNA, 493 nt
Filed under: uncultured bacterium
Lineage: Bacteria
Description: partial 16S ribosomal RNA
Rfam family: Bacterial small subunit ribosomal RNA
Source: RNAcentral